Molecule: unclassified non-coding RNA, 328 nt
Filed under: soil metagenome
Description: partial contains 5.8S ribosomal RNA, internal transcribed spacer 2, and large subunit ribosomal RNA
Rfam family: 5.8S ribosomal RNA (bases 1-120)
Source: RNAcentral
GAUGAAGAACGCAGCGAAAUGCGAUAAGUAAUGUGAAUUGCAGAAUUCAGUGAAUCAUCGAAUCUUUGAACGCACAUUGCGCCCCUUGGUAUUCCGAGGGGCAUGCCUGUUCGAGCGUCAUUAUAACCCCUCAAGCUCAGCUCGGUGUUGGGGCCUGCCGCACGGGCAGCCCUUAAAAUCAGUGGCGGUGCCAUCUGGCUCUAAGCGUAGUAAUUCUUCUCGCUAUAGAGUCCCGGUGGAUGCUUGCCAUUAACCCCCAAUUUUCUAUGGUUGACCUCGGAUCAGGUAGGGAUACCCGCUGAACUUAAGCAUAUCAAUAAGCGGAGGA